Molecule: unclassified non-coding RNA, 553 nt
Filed under: Hevea brasiliensis (rubber tree)
Lineage: Eukaryota; Viridiplantae; Streptophyta; Magnoliopsida; Malpighiales; Euphorbiaceae
Source: RNAcentral
UUUAUUUUUUAUUUUUUAAAUUUUCUCAUUUUAUUGUAUGUUAUUUUAUUUAUUGCUUUUAGUGUUUGAUUGUUGAAGCAAAUUGUAUUGACUCCGGUUAAGCUCAGUAUCUGUAAAAUUUUUAGGUGAUUUCUUUUGAUUUGUUAGUUCUUUUGUUUGGUAACAUGAUAGUUUUAUUUAUUUUAUUUUUUAUAUUAAAUCUAGUUCAGUGUUUAGGGUAUUACUCAAGCUUUGAGAAUUUUCUUAUUUGUUGGACCAGCGAAGAAAUAUUAGUUUUUGUCUGGGGUUUUCUUGCUUAAUUCUGGUUAGGAGUUUUAUUUUGUCUGUGGAUGUGAAUGGAACCUAAAAUAGAAACUAUUCUAGUAACUGUUCGUUUGGUAUGCACAUCAAUUCAAUAAUGUCUUUGUAUGAGGUUGAUAUAGUAUGGGAUGAACUUUUAGUUGAAUUUGGUUCAUGAUCUACUGAGUAUGUUUUGGAUCUUGCAAAUUUAUUCGUUUACUCGUUAUGUUUAAAUCUUUGUGCAAUGAAGUUCGGGGCAACCCCAGAUGAUGGG